GAUGAACGCUGGCGGCGUGCCUAAUACAUGCAAGUCGAGCGAACGGACGAGAAGCUUGCUUCUCUGAUGUUAGCGGCGGACGGGUGAGUAACACGUGGAUAACCUACCUAUAAGACUGGGAUAACUUCGGGAAACCGUAGCUAAUACCGGAUAAUAUUUUGAACCGCAUGGUUCAAAAGUGAAAGACGGUCUUGCUGUCACUUAUAGAUGGAUCCGCGCUGCAUUAGCUAGUUGGUAAGGUAACGGCUUACCAAGGCAACGAUGCAUAGCCGACCUGAGAGGGUGAUCGGCCACACUGGAACUGAGACACGGUCCAGACUCCUACGGGAGGCAGCAGUAGGGAAUCUUCCGCAAUGGGCGAAAGCCUGACGGAGCAACGCCGCGCGAGUGAUGAAGGUCUUCGGAUCGUAAAACUCUGUUAUUAGGGAAGAACAUAUGUGUAAGUAACUGUGCACAUCUUGACGGUACCUAAUCAGAAAGCCACGGCUAACUACGU
RNAcentral lists this ribosomal RNA (496 nucleotides) under uncultured bacterium. RNAcentral describes it as "partial 16S ribosomal RNA". It matches the Rfam family "Bacterial small subunit ribosomal RNA", at positions 28 to 506 of the family's 1533-position model. The record is from RNAcentral.